Molecule: small RNA, 734 nt
Filed under: Pongo abelii (Sumatran orangutan)
Lineage: Eukaryota; Metazoa; Chordata; Mammalia; Primates; Hominidae
Description: processed transcript
Source: RNAcentral
CAGGUGCCCUGUCCAGCUGACUGCAAAGACAGAGAGGAGUCCUGCCCAGCUCUUGGAUCAGUCUGCUUGGCCAAGGAGCCCAGUGGAGCCGGGGGUGACCCUGGAGCCCAGCCUGCCCCGAGGAGGCCCUGGCUCAGAGCCAUGCCAGGUGUCUGUGAUAGGGCCCCUGACUUCCUCUCCCCGUCUGAAGACCAGGUGCUGAGGCCUGCCUUGGGCAGCUCAGUGGCUCUGAACUGCACGGCUUGGGUAGUCUCUGGGCCCCACUGCUCCCUGCCUUCAGUCCAGUGGCUGAAAGACGGGCUUCCAUUGGGAAAUGGGGGCCACUACAGCCUCCACGAGUACUCCUGGCCCUACAAGCCACGUGGCUGCGGUGCUGGCCUCCCUCCUGGUCCUGCUGGCCCUGCUGCUGGCCGCCCUGCUCUAUGUCAAGUGCCGUCUCAACGUGCUGCUCUGGUACCAGGACGCGUAUGGGGAGGUGGAGAUGAACGACGGGAAGCUCUACGACGCCUACGUCUCCUACAGCGACUGCCCCGAGGACCGCAAGUUCGUGAACUUCAUCCUGAAGCCGCAGCUGGAGCGCCGUCGGGGCUACAAGCUUUUCCUGGACGACCGCGACCUCCUGCCGCGCGCUGAGCCCUCCGCCGACCUCUUGGUGAAUCUGAGCCGCUGCCGACGCCUCAUCGUGGUGCUUUCGGACGCCUUCCUGAGCCGGGCCUGGUGCAGCCACAGCUUCC